This 1245-nucleotide long non-coding RNA is filed under the name Marmota monax (woodchuck). The record is from RNAcentral. Lineage: Eukaryota; Metazoa; Chordata; Mammalia; Rodentia; Sciuridae.
UGCAGAUGCCUUGCCUGAGAUAACUCUUUAAGCAUCGUUUGGGUGUCAUAUUAAGAAGAUGUUUGAAGUUUGUUAAGCAAUUGACUGAUGGAUCAGAAGGCAUCACUUCAUUCUUGAUUGGACUAGUUUGUUAACUACCUAAUAAUGUAUCUGUUUGAAUGUAAGUAUUCAACCAUUCUCUUUUGCAAUAUAGGAAUCUCACAUUCUGAAAGAGUAAAUACAAGGUCAGUGACAGUGUCCUUGGUUCCUGAGAGAAGAUUUUAGGUUUUCUCUUUUUAAUAGACUUUUGCUAAGAGUGGUAAAGGCACUGUAAAAAGAAAAGUUAACAAAACUUGCUUUUUCAUUAGCAAACUUAAAAAAAAUACUUCAACAUGAAUGUUCAUCUUCUUCUUCUUUUUUUUUUUUUUUUUUUUUUUAGUAUUUAUGAAGUAUUCCUUUGCUAGAAUUGGGGCUGGUGAUGCACAAGAAUAAUCUCAGAGCUGAUUGCAGCGUGAGAGGACAAGCAAUGCUUUUAACACAAAGUAAGAUAAGGAACAAUUUCUCAUUCAAAGAUAAUAAAAUACAAUGGAAGGAAGAAUUCAGACUGAUCUUUAAUUUGACCUACAUUACACAGUUAUCACAUCAGAGAAGAAUCACAGACAAUCCCAAAGUCUCUGGAAGGCCUCAUCUUAAGUAAAUGCUAUCUCAGGUUUUGCACUCUGAUAUCCCUUACUUUUAUUUUUCCCUCAUGUACAAACUCACAUCAGGACUACUUUGCUAUGCAAUUAACAUGGUAACUACCUUACCUAGCUGGCAUUGCCCCUUUCCAUUUUGGGGUUUGAAAGCAUUUGCCACUUACACUCAGAUCAUGUUUUUGUGAGAGGCCACAGAGCGACUUUCUUUAAAGCUAUCAAAGCCUUCCUCAUUAUCCUUUAUGGGCUGUGCAGAAAACAUCUCAACUAUUAGACAUUUAACUGGAGUGCAGUAGAAUGGGUUUGCUGGCCCCCUCCAGUUGCUUGGGUAAAAGCUCUGUUCAUAAUCAGUUUCUGGUUUUUUAAAAUGACCCUCAAGAGGUUCCUUCCGGUCCACUUCAGUUCCCUUUUUAGUGUCCCAUUGAUUUUCCAGACUUUAGGAAUGCGUCCUUAACUGCCUGCUUUCCCAUUGGCUGUCUCCACUGAAUGAGAAGGGAACACUUUGUUACUUCAUACAUGGAGACAGGAAUAUCUUGAGGACUAACACACCAUUUGUAACAGCACAGUUUACAAC